RNAcentral lists this long non-coding RNA (350 nucleotides) under Camelus dromedarius (Arabian camel). Its description in RNAcentral is "lncRNA (ENSCDRG00005006776.1)". The record is from RNAcentral. Lineage: Eukaryota; Metazoa; Chordata; Mammalia; Artiodactyla; Camelidae.
CUUGGAUCCCAGAAAUUCAGAUGGCAACGUCGACAUCAAGAAAAUUGGGAGAUCAACUUUGGAUCUACAUGGAAAGAGGACCUGCAGGGUUAUUUAAAUGGGAGGAAUUAAGGAUUGGAACCAGGAAGAGGGAAGACUGGGAGGAUUACAAUGAGGAAAACACAACAGAACCAGUGUCAGCUUCUGUUUCUCAGUAUCAUCUUACUCCCAGUUUCAUCAUUCUGGGCCAGAGGACUCACGCUGCCAUCUGAUGCCUGAGUGAAGUGGGCCGAUAGAAUGAACACCUGGGGAUGGAGCAGCAUGCAUGUCACUUGAGGUAAUCCGGAUACCCAGAAUCAAACAAAACAGGC